AUACGGAGGGUGCGAGCGUUAAUCGGAAUUACUGGGCGUAAAGGGUGCGUAGGCGGCUUGAUAAGUCGGAUGUGAAAGCCCCGGGCUUAACCUGGGAAUUGCAUUCGAUACUGUCAGGCUAGAGUAUGUCAGAGGUUGGCGGAAUUCCUAGUGUAGCGGUGAAAUGCGUAGAUAUCAGGAGGAACACCAGUGGCGAAGGCGGCUAACUGGGGCAAUACUGACGCUGAGGCACGCCCGCGUGGGGAGCAAACAGGAUUAGAAACCCCGGUAGUCC
This 274-nucleotide ribosomal RNA is filed under the name uncultured bacterium. RNAcentral's name for it is "partial 16S ribosomal RNA". It matches the Rfam family "Bacterial small subunit ribosomal RNA", at positions 523 to 796 of the family's 1533-position model. The record is from RNAcentral.